This 516-nucleotide ribosomal RNA is filed under the name Staphylococcus epidermidis. RNAcentral's name for it is "bacterial SSU rRNA". It matches the Rfam family "Bacterial small subunit ribosomal RNA", at positions 32 to 523 of the family's 1533-position model. The record is from RNAcentral. Lineage: Bacteria; Bacillati; Bacillota; Bacilli; Caryophanales; Staphylococcaceae.
GGGCUAGAAAUACUGGCGGCGUGCCUAUACAUGCAAGUCGAGCGAACAGACGAGGAGCUUGCUCCUCUGACGUUAGCGGCGGACGGGUGAGUAACACGUGGAUAACCUACCUAUAAGACUGGGAUAACUUCGGGAAACCGGAGCUAAUACCGGAUAAUAUAUUGAACCGCAUGGUUCAAUAGUGAAAGACGGUUUUGCUGUCACUUAUAGAUGGAUCCGCGCCGCAUUAGCUAGUUGGUAAGGUAACGGCUUACCAAGGCAACGAUGCGUAGCCGACCUGAGAGGGUGAUCGGCCACACUGGAACUGAAACACGGUCCAGACUCCUACGGGAGGCAGCAGUAGGGAAUCUUCCGCAAUGGGCGAAAGCCUGACGGAACAACGCCGCGUGAGUGAUGAAGGUCUUCGGAUCGUAAAACUCUGUUAUUAGGGAAGAACAAAUGUGUAAGUAACUAUGCACGUCUUGACGGUACCUAAUCAGAAAGCCACGGCUAACUACGUGCCAGCCGCCGCGGUAA